RNAcentral lists this unclassified non-coding RNA (1359 nucleotides) under Hevea brasiliensis (rubber tree). Lineage: Eukaryota; Viridiplantae; Streptophyta; Magnoliopsida; Malpighiales; Euphorbiaceae. The record is from RNAcentral.
AUCAACAAUUGUGGUGCCCAUCCACAUAUUAUCAAUCCCCUUUCACCCACUUUCUCGCUCAACCCAUGUGGGUAAUAUCCUUCUUCUGGAUUAUUUGGAUCGGACUGUCCACGUGGAGGACCCGCCCGACCCGCAUCUGGUCGGAGCACCCAUAUAAAUGGAUGGGUCGAGGCUUCUAAUGCGUCAGCCAACUGUGGAUACUCUUCUUUAGUGAUGUCCACUGAACUGCCAAAUGAGACGUAUAAUACUGAGCCACGUGCCUUUGAAUCUAGCCAUCGGAUCACGCUCUCCUCUGUAAUAUUAGCCAGUCGAAUGGUUCUCAUUUUGCUAUCAUGAACAAGUGCGCCAGCUGAUUUCCAAUAUUCCUCUGCGAAAAGCGGGCCCACGCCCCAAACAGGCUUUUUAACUUCAUCGGCCAGGUAAUCAAUAAAUGGACGCUCCAGAUCAUCACACGUGUUUAUCAUCCAAGCGAUGGAAUCUUCUGCGUCAUCAACCCACGGUGGUUGCUCUCCAGGCGCCGGUGGGCCCAUUAUCUUCGGCUUCGAUUGGGAUGGCCCACCUAGUGGACCUACAAGUCCAGGUGGAGGAGGCCCAUGGCCAUGAGGCCGGCGUUUGAGAUCCGAGACGGUUAGACCCAUUCUUUCGGGCAACCCUGGAAGAAAACAGAUCUCUCCAGGUUUUAUAUGCUGUAUCUGCAGGUGUCCCUUCCAUGCAGCAUACUCCAUUGCGGCGGAACAGGCGCCGGAGGUGAAGAACCCAAUCGUUGGAACAUGAAAUUUCUUGAAAAUAUCAGCCGACCAACUCAUCACAACGAGCACAUCAACAAUGGCACAAAUGGGUAGUUUUGGAUUCUGGGAGCGAUUAGAGAGGAGGUUUUCAAGGCAUAAAUGCAUCUGUUUCCGGCUAUCAGCAUGCAUGGGAAUCGGAACGGAUCCAGACGGAGAUGGAAUUUCAAGGAUGUGGAGAAGUGGGUUUUCCCGGAAAGUGGAGGGGACGGAAGAGGAGAGAGAAGAGAAAAUGACAAGGGUAGUUUUGUAGUUGUGAGUAGCUAUGAGCUUACAUAGCUCGAUGCAAGGAAAGAGAUGGCCCUGUCCAAAAGCAGGGACAACAAGAACUUCAGCAGACAUGUUUGAAAGGGUGUUUGUUUCUUGAGAACGUAGAAGAAGAUGGAAGAAAGUGCUUAAUUAUAGGAAAGAAAAAGGAAAAGGAGUUUUGAUUUACUGGUGGGAAAUCGGAAGUGGGUUUGAUAGUUUGGUGGAAAAAGUAAGAGAUUUCGAUAUGUAUUUUGGAGUGUAAGCUUGUCGUUAUCAAUGAGGUUGGAAUUCUGAACCAGGACGUGGGUAUCGACGUCAAUGAAAG